CCUCCUUAUACGAUUUAGAACUUAUUUGUUCGUAGUGUCCACACAGAUGAUUGUUAGUUAGUUCCACCUUUGGGUUUAACUGAUUAAUAUGCUCUUUAAAAAUUUGGAAAAGCUGAUAAUAAAAUUCGUAUGAAUACAGUGUAUUUGUACAGAGUUUUCAAAAGUAAAAAAGAAUGAUAGCAGUAUCAUUCAGUGCCAAUUUAAUCAUUCGUGAUUAAUUGGUAUCUACUUUAGUAUUCAAUAUUAACUUCUGGCGAAGUUAAACUGUCACAUAACAAAGACCCGUAUGGGUUGUAUGGUUAAGUGACUAAGCGUACACGGUGGAUGCCUUGGCAGUUGGAGGCGAUGAAGGACGUAUUAACUUGCGAUAAGCCUAGUCAAGCUAGUAAAAAGCGCUUGAGACUAGGAUUCCGA
RNAcentral lists this unclassified non-coding RNA (414 nucleotides) under uncultured Pseudoalteromonas sp. RNAcentral describes it as "partial 16S-23S ribosomal RNA intergenic spacer". The stretch from base 298 to 414 matches the Rfam family "Bacterial large subunit ribosomal RNA", at positions 1 to 117 of the family's 2925-position model. Lineage: Bacteria; Pseudomonadati; Pseudomonadota; Gammaproteobacteria; Alteromonadales; Pseudoalteromonadaceae. The record is from RNAcentral.